UCGCCUGUUUAUCAAAAACAUGUCUUUUCGAAAAUAAUUUAAAGUCAAAUCUGCUCAAUGAAAAUUUUAAAUAGCUGCAGUAAUUUAACUGUACAAAGGUAGCAAAAUCAAUAGUUUAUUAAUUAUAAACUGGUAUGAAGGAUUAAAUGAAAUAUAAAUUGUCUCAAUAUUAUAAAUUUAAAUUUCUUUUUUUUUAAAAAAGAAAAAAUAAUUUUAAAAGACGAGAAGACCCUAUAGAUUUUUAUAAAAAUUAAAUUUUAAUUUAUAAUUAUAAAAAGUUAUUUAAUUUUUAUUUAAUUGGGGUGAUUAUUAAAUUUAAUAAACUUUAAUAAAUUUAUACAUUAAUUUAUGAGUAAUAUUUUUUUAAUUUAAAAAUAUAAAUUAAAAUACCUUAGGGAUAACAGCGUAAUUUUUUUUGAGAUUAAUAUUGAUAAAAAAGUUUGCGACCUCGAUGUUGAAUUAAAAUAAAAUUUUAAAUUAUAAUUUAAAAAUUUUUAGUCUGUUCGACUAUUAAAAUUUUACGUGAUCUGAGUUCAGA
RNAcentral lists this ribosomal RNA (538 nucleotides) under Brachycyrtus ornatus. RNAcentral's name for it is "partial 16S large subunit ribosomal RNA". The record is from RNAcentral. Lineage: Eukaryota; Metazoa; Arthropoda; Insecta; Hymenoptera; Ichneumonidae.